CCAGCGUAACUGUCUGUCUGUCUUUCUGUUGGUCGGAAUUGCUAAUUAGAUCCCUCCGAAGAUGCAGCGAUGAUCAAACCAUGAGCGGCAAUAAAGUGCCUAUCCUUCAUUGAAAGUAGGAAAUUGGAAAAAAGUGUCUAUAUAUGGCAGAGCGAAAAUAUUCAACGAAAUCUUGAGCCGAAGAAAUAGAAGGGAUACAGGCCAUUUGCAGGUAAUCUGUUUGUUUCGGCAUUUCGGACCGAGAAAAAACCGUGGCGCAAUGACCAAAUGUCUGCAUAUGCACGAUGGGCACACCAAAGAUCUGG
This is a long non-coding RNA of Armigeres subalbatus, 305 nucleotides long. RefSeq lists it as uncharacterized. The transcript is spliced from 3 exons. The record is from RefSeq and is a predicted model, not a curated record. Lineage: Eukaryota; Metazoa; Arthropoda; Insecta; Diptera; Culicidae.